RNAcentral lists this long non-coding RNA (1167 nucleotides) under Cairina moschata (Muscovy duck). RNAcentral's name for it is "domestica (muscovy Duck (domestic type)) lncRNA (ENSCMMG00000001965.1)". The record is from RNAcentral. Lineage: Eukaryota; Metazoa; Chordata; Aves; Anseriformes; Anatidae.
AUCACUCCGUGCUCCCGCCUGGCUCUCACAAGAGAUCGGCAGGGUGUCCUGCCUCACUGCCGAGCCCCCCGUGCCUCCACAGCCUUCACAGCCCCCGGAGCUCCGCCGGGCGCCGCUCCCCGCCCGCCGGCUCCUCCUUCCCGGCCUCGGAGCCCCGCAGCCCGCCGGGGCGGGACCGGGCUCCCUACAAAGAGCCCGCCCGACGGGGCCGGAGGCAGAGCGGCGCGGGGAGGCUCCGGGGACAGCACCGGGCACUGGGCACCGGGGACAGCACAGGCACCGAGCACCGGGGAGCCACGCUUUUCCCCGGGGAGAGGGGAAACUUCCCUGCCCCGUCCCGCCGCAGGCUCCCUGGUGCCCGCCCGCUUCCUCCUGCUCCUCCUCCUCCUCCUCCUCCUCCUCCUCCUCCGGCCGCAUCCCGCGGGGAGCAGCGGGCGAUGGGGCUGGGGGCGCCGUCCCCGGGGAGCCGUGCCCGCAGCCGGCAGCUCGCCGAGUGAAACUUUGCGGCGGGGGCGGCGCCCGGGCACCUCGCGGCGGAGCGGGCAAAGUUGUUUUUUUUUUUUUUUUUUUUUUUCCUUUCCCCCCACCCUUUUUCUGCAGCCCGGGAGCCGCCGCCCGCCCACGCCCCCCUCCCACCCCCCGGGGUGGCCGCGGCCCCGCUGCUAUGGCACCCGCCCGUCGCCGCGGGGCGGGCAGGGGGCGGCCGCCUCCGGCUGGCCCUGCGGUGGCGGCGGCGGGGGGGCGCGCAGCCCCCGGGCGCCGGGCGUCCUCCCCCGGCCGGCAGUGACCGCCCCGGCCCCGCCGCCUGCCGGCCCCCGCCCGAGUCUCGCCGAGGAUGGCGGCGGCGCCGGGGCCGGGCUCGGGGAGCUCGGGGAGCCCGGGCACCCCCUGAGCCAGCCGCCGCCUCCCCGGAGCAGCCCCGCAGUGCUCCCCGCCGUGAGACCCCGCUCCUCCCCGCAGGGAAGUGUUCACACAACCUGAUAAUGAUUGCAACUGCUUCAUAAUUGCAACCCGUCCUGUAAGUAAAGGCAUUAUGUUCUGGUAUGAAAUGUAUGUCUGCCUUUCAUUAUCACAGACAGAUGUGGCUACAGCCUUUCACAUCACAUGAGCUGAAGGCUGUAAAUGCUGCUGUGAUGCUCCUGCCAUUUCACUUUACCACAAUGACUA